UCCACCUUAUCGGCAGCGAGGGUUGCGCUCGUUGCGGGACUUAACCCAACACCUCACGGCACGAGCUGACGACAGCCAUGCAGCAUCUGUGCACGCUCCCUUGCGGGUCCUUCCGCUUUCACGGUCGUACCACGUGCAUGUCAAGCCCAGGUAAGGUUCUUUGCGUUGCGUCGAAUUAAACCACAUGCUCCGCUGCUUGUGCGGGUCCCCGUCAAUUCCUUUGAGUUUUAGCCUUGCGGCCGUACUCCCCAGGCGGGGCACUUAAUGCGUUAGCUCCGGCACGGGAGGAGUCGACACCUCCCACACCUAGUGCCCAUCGUUUACGGCGUGGACUAC
RNAcentral lists this unclassified non-coding RNA (336 nucleotides) under uncultured bacterium. Its description in RNAcentral is "contains 16S-23S intergenic spacer region". The record is from RNAcentral.